UGAGGAAUAUUGGACAAUGGGCGAAAGCCUGAUCCAGCGACUCCGCGUGAGUGAUGAAAUCCUUCGGGAUGUAAAACUCUGUCAGGGGGAACGAUAAUGACGGUACCCCCAGAGGAAGCCCCGGCUAACCACGUGCCAGCAGCCGCGGUAAGACGUGGGGGGCGAGCGUUAUCCGGAAUUACUGGGCGUAAAGCGCAUGUAGGUGGGAAAGCAAGUCGAAUGUGAAAUCUUUGGGCUUAACCCAGAGUCUGUGUUUGAUACUACUUUUCUGGAGAACAAUAGGGGAAAGCGGAACUCCCGGUGUAGCGGUGAAAUGCGUAGAUAUCGGGAGGAACACCAGUGGCGAAGGCGGCUUUCUGGAUUGAUUCUGACACUGAGAUGCGAAAGCGUGGGGAGCAAACAGG
RNAcentral lists this ribosomal RNA (404 nucleotides) under uncultured bacterium. RNAcentral describes it as "bacterial SSU rRNA". It matches the Rfam family "Bacterial small subunit ribosomal RNA", at positions 355 to 776 of the family's 1533-position model. The record is from RNAcentral.